GGAGGAGCCUCUGAGGUAAUCAUAGGAGCCAUGUUGCCAUUGAGGCCAGACACCUGGAGUCAGCCAGUGUACCCCCACUAGCACCCAAAGAUGUUCAGAUGUUCAGCACCCAAACAUGCCACAAGGUGCUGCAGCAUGACUGUGAAGGAAUCCGCCUCUCUACCCACCAGAGCUCCGAGUGGGUAGAGAAUGAGCAGGAAAUCCCACCCCAGUUUUCCUACUGCUGGAUUUCAUCGCACUGGAAGGUGAGAAUGCCACACUAGAAGAGACUGCACACCAUGGGCAUCAGGAAGGGACCAUGGGCCACUACUGUUAAACAAUAUCCAGAGCAGGAGCUCUUAGGGAUGGAUGAAAGGCCCAAAAUACAGCGUGUAUAGCUGCUUCCAUUUUGCACUGCAUGCAAAACUUGGCCACCUAAAGAAAGGUGAUGUGUUAGUGUGGAAUGAAAAGGUUGAGGAUGGAGGGGAAUAUUGGACUAUUUGUUACUUAUGGAGUAAGAGUUCCUUUAUUAAACCUCUUGAAUACUUUUGUUUAACAUUUUGAG
Molecule: non-coding RNA, 544 nt
Organism: Pelodiscus sinensis (Chinese soft-shelled turtle)
Lineage: Eukaryota; Metazoa; Chordata; Testudines; Trionychidae
Source: RefSeq, a predicted model, not a curated record